Molecule: small nucleolar RNA, 84 nt
Organism: Vicugna pacos (alpaca)
Lineage: Eukaryota; Metazoa; Chordata; Mammalia; Artiodactyla; Camelidae
Source: Ensembl
UCUUAGGGAUGACACACUUGUCCUUGCUGAGAUCAUAGUUUGGUGAUGAGAAUCUUGCUUUUUGUACUCAUCAGUUGAGCCAGA